RNAcentral lists this non-coding RNA (26 nucleotides) under Rattus norvegicus (Norway rat). Lineage: Eukaryota; Metazoa; Chordata; Mammalia; Rodentia; Muridae. The record is from RNAcentral.
UGUGAAACAUGUCGCAGACUCCUCCC